GCCUUCGUGGAGUAGUGGUGUACGCUCGACUCGUAACCGAGAGGUCCGUGGUUCGAUUCCCCGCGAAAGCG
This 71-nucleotide transfer RNA is filed under the name Stegodyphus mimosarum. It matches the Rfam family "tRNA". From Rfam's summary of the family: Transfer RNA (tRNA) molecules are approximately 80 nucleotides in length. Their secondary structure includes four short double-helical elements and three loops (D, anti-codon, and T loops). Lineage: Eukaryota; Metazoa; Arthropoda; Arachnida; Araneae; Eresidae. The record is from Rfam by way of RNAcentral.